This 527-nucleotide ribosomal RNA is filed under the name uncultured eukaryote. RNAcentral describes it as "SSU rRNA". It matches the Rfam family "Eukaryotic small subunit ribosomal RNA", at positions 1 to 552 of the family's 1831-position model. The record is from RNAcentral.
UUUGACAAUUCUGGUUAUUCCUGCACCUGGUAUAUGCUUGUCUCAAGGACUAAGCCGCAAGUGCCAGUAUAAGAGAAUUGUACAUCAAAACUGCGAAUGGCUCGGUAAACAGCAAUAAUUUCUUCGGGGAUAAUACUACUCGGAUAUCCGUAGUAAUUCUAGAGCUAAUACGUGCCAAAACGCGAAGUUUCUUCGUGGUACUUAUUAUAGAUACAAACCAAUUUUUUUUGGUGAUUCACAAUAAUUUUUCUGAUCGCAUUCGUGCGACACCCCGUUCAAAUUUCUGACCUAUCAACUUCGGAUGGUAAGGUAGUGUCUUACCAUGGUUGUGACGGGUAACGGACCGUGGGUGCGGGAUUCCGGAGAGGGAGCCUGAGAAACGGCUACCACAUCCAAGGAAGGCAGCAGGCGCGUAAAUUACCCAAUCCGGACACCGGGAGGUAGUGCGCCAGAAGCAACCAAAUAGGGGGCCCAAUGGGCUUCCUAAGGAAGGGAGAACAAGAUAAACGGCUAUCGAGAGCCGCGGC